GGUUCCUGAUUUUUAUUCUAUGAGCUCAGGAUGAUGAACCUGAUCCUAAAAUCUGAGACACAUGUCUUAAAAUUGGGGCUAUCUCAGAAAAUAGAGGAGGGAAAAUAGAGAAGAGUAAGAAAAAGUGAUGGAGGAAGGAAGAGGAAAAGAAGCAAGGAUCCAAAAUGCAAAUGUGGGACAUUUUAGAAGAGCAGAACGUUGCAUUUCAGCCUUCCUGUCUGAUAUAACCCAUCUGGUGACUGCAUUCAAAAGAGCCCUACCAAGAAUAUUUUCAUGGAGUUAUUUUUCCACUGUGUAUUUCACACUUCAUCUUUGCAGGAGAAUGGAUGGAUUUACUUGGCACGUAGCAGGGGACAGUCUGUGGAAAGAAGUGAGAAGGAUAAUCCAAUAGCAAAAGUGAGGGGUGAUGAAGAGUGAAAGGUACCAACGUCCCCUUCCGCAUAUUCCUCUCCACUCUCUCAGUAUUGGAAUCUAAGUCUGAAGUUUUAGACAAGGCUCAGGGACGGCUUAAACUGUAGAUGCAGUUCCCUUCUCUAGUCCCAAAGGCUCCCAGUCAGCCCUAGGCCUUGUGUAGGGAGCUUCCAAAUGCCUACUCAAGGUUUAAUUAAUUUUCUGCAAAAAAUGAUUGGUUGACAUGACAGCAAUAAACAUCAAAUUCCAUUAAUUAAUACUGAGACAUCAGUGUCCACGCUGCUUCUCAAUUACACAUUCAGAGGCAGCCACGCUUAUGCUGGCAUCAAUUUGGUCGUGAAGCCCAGUAAGGGCUGUUAAAAUGGAAAGAGGACCAAGGGGAGGGAGGGGUAGGGGGGUGGCAUCUGUUCUUAUGCAGAGAUAAUCAGCUUGGAAGAAUUCACACUCCAAAGCCCACUCCCCAGAGAAGGGUUUAAGAGACCUAGAUGAAAGGAUUUAAAUUUGGUUGGGUGAGGCAUUUUCAUUUUGCUGAUGGCCUGGAAGGGAACUAUCAGCUUGAUGAAAACAAAGCUUCCCUCGGGUUCUAAGACAUAUUCUUCAAACUGGCUCCCCUCCCAUUGUUCUUUCUUUCUCUCUUUCUUUUUUUUUUUUUUUUUAUUAGAUGAACUCAUUUAUUUGACAUAUUAAAUUAGACAAAGAAAUGUAUAUGUAACCAGAUAAAAACAAUCACAUUCUCAUACUACUUGAACACACAGCAGUGGUCAAAAAUAAUGGAUUGUAAAAUGGACCCCAGGAUUUAAUGCAAAAACCACCCCAUACGAGGAGCUACAGUCAUCUCCAAUUUCAUGUUAAUUCCGAAGAGAGUCAAAGGGGAACAAAAAGCAAUCUUUGCUUCUUCCACUCAAGAAAAAACCCUAAAGGGACCACAGCUCCCAUCAGGCACAUGCUUUAGGGCCUGGAGACAAAGUGAAAUGUUC
This 1388-nucleotide long non-coding RNA is filed under the name Homo sapiens (human). RNAcentral describes it as "HSALNT0096755". The record is from RNAcentral. Lineage: Eukaryota; Metazoa; Chordata; Mammalia; Primates; Hominidae.